GCAGACAUGGUGUAACCGGUAACACGGCCUCGCCACUUAAGGAAAAGAGCGUGGUUCUACGAGGUAGCCGAGGGUUCGACUCCCUCUGUCUACA
Non-coding RNA from Mycena metata, 94 nucleotides. The record is from the annotation of a GenBank genome assembly. Lineage: Eukaryota; Fungi; Basidiomycota; Agaricomycetes; Agaricales; Mycenaceae.